RNAcentral lists this small nuclear RNA (21 nucleotides) under Arabidopsis thaliana (thale cress). RNAcentral's name for it is "snRNA_12545". The record is from RNAcentral. Lineage: Eukaryota; Viridiplantae; Streptophyta; Magnoliopsida; Brassicales; Brassicaceae.
AGAAAAAAAAACAAGAUUUUC